CUGGUGGAUGCCUUGGCUUCGAGAGGCGAUGAAGGACGUGGCAGGCUGCGAUAAGCUGCGGGGAGGGGCCAGCACCCUUUGAUCCGCGGAUUUCCGAAUGGGGAAACCCACCCGCAAGGGUAUCUUAUGGUGAAUUCAUAGCCAUAAGAGGCGAACCUGGGGAACUGAAACAUCUAAGUACCCAGAGGAAAGGACAUCAAACGAGACUCCGCUAGUAGUGGCGAGCGAACGCGGAAGAGGCCUGUGGUUUAUGGUUAAGAACGGAAACAGUCUGGAAAGGCUGGCCAGAGUGGGUGAUAGCCCCGUACCGGUAGAAAUUCCAUAAAUCCUUGAGUAAGGCGGGACACGUGAAAUCCUGUCUGAAGAUGGGGGGACCACCCUCCAAGCCUAAGUACUCCUCGAAGACCGAUAGUGCACCAGUACCGUGAGGGAAAGGUGAAAAAGGCACCCCGAUGAGGGGAGUGAACAGACCUGAAACCGGAUGCCUACAAGCAGUAGGAGCUCGAAAGAGUGACUGCGUACCUUUUGUAUAAUGGGUCAGCG
Molecule: ribosomal RNA, 543 nt
Filed under: uncultured bacterium
Lineage: Bacteria
Description: bacterial LSU rRNA
Rfam family: Bacterial large subunit ribosomal RNA
Source: RNAcentral